This 9683-nucleotide long non-coding RNA is filed under the name Nicotiana tabacum (common tobacco). RNAcentral's name for it is "long non-coding RNA (NTAB_LNC008061)". Lineage: Eukaryota; Viridiplantae; Streptophyta; Magnoliopsida; Solanales; Solanaceae. The record is from RNAcentral.
ACCAGGACAAUUUAGUAAUUUCAUUGUUGAUGCCAAGUUUAGUUUGUCUUUUUCUGUUACACUUUGGAGUACAGCUGGACAUCAUUUUCUAUGUCAUUUUUGUUCAUCUCAAUUCUCAUAUGUCUGACCUUCAUCUCCAUGUUUGUUUUGCCGGCAUUCCACUCUAUUCAGUCCUGUAUUCAGUAAGCUUUGGCCAGUCUUCGCUUUUCCAGUAGCCUUUCUUUUCUCUCUUCCCCUACUUCUGUUUGGUGGCUGGAAUCUGUUGGUAUACCUCCUUGGCUCUUCUAUGUUUAACUGAGUUUCUUCCUUUCACUUUCAGUCAGAGAAUAGUUUCUUUUUAAUGCAUAGUCAAUUUUAUUGUUUAUUCAUUUUUUUUGUGUUCUUUUUAAUUUUCUAAUUCUUUAGCAAAGUAUUCAUUUUUUUUUGUGUUCUUUUUAAUUUUCUAAUUUUUUAGCAAAGUAUUCAUUUUUUUUUGUGUUCUUUUUAAUUUUCUAUUUUUUUAGCAAAGUCGUUUACAGUUUGAUUUUCAGCGUUUUGGGUAGUCCUGAACUUUUCCGGGUAAGCAUGAUAUGGUACUCUUUUUUCGGGUUGAUAUAUGAUUUUGUUAUUUUUACUACUAACUUUAGUUAUGACUUCUUGAAUUUAAUUUUUGUUGUCUAUUUAUAUUUAGUUAAAAAUGUAUAUUAUUCGCACAUGUAUGUUCAGAAUCGGAUACUCAGAUACAUGUAAUUGUGUAUUAUUUUGGAUAACUGUUUGUUCAAUAUCUUUUUGCCAUUUGAUAUCAAUUAAUUACUCUUAAAUUGAAGUUUUUAAGCAAUAAUCUGAAAUAUCCAGAUUGUUGUUGGAAAUUGGAUCUCUUCCUUGAUUUUCUCUAUAAUUUGUAAUAUAGAUUGAGUAGGUGUAAAUUGGACGAGCAAGACACUAUGACAGGAAGGACAAAAAGAAAAAAAGAGAGAAAUGGUGAUUGUGAGCUAUUGCAUGUUACAUAAUAUAAUGGGGUUGUGAGGUACAAUUUGACACAUCUUCUUGACAAAAUUUGGAGUUGGAUAAUGCAGUGCAAUGCCAUUUAGAAAUGCUAAGAAAUAAUGAAAAGUUUUUAUAGGACUGAUAUUAACUAUAAUUUUAUCUCAUAGUGAUAGAAAUCUGCUUCUUCUGACGGUAAAAGAAUGAAAAUGUGUUAUGAACUAUUAAGUGAUCUCUCUGUUACAUAAGUACUCUGGUCUAAUCUUCUAUUUCACCUUAAUAGGAACUAACCUCACAUUUUGAUUCUUUUCUUCUUCUUCUUCUUAUUUUAGUCUUAACAUCACAUUUUGAUUCUAAAGGAAAUGACUAUCAACUAAUUGGACUUUGAAAAUUCUGAUUUAAUCUUGUACUUGAUCUUGAACCCCUGACUUCCUUAUAAAAGUCGAGAUAUUUAUUCAGUCAUGCAGUAAGCCUUUUUGAAGUACUAAAAGGUCAUUACGAAUAUUUGGGAUACAAGGCACGAGUUGAACACUGUUUCAAAGAGAACUCCUUAAUAUCUGCUGCUGAACAUUCAGAUGUGUAUCUUCAUGACUUAUUUAUUGAUGAAUGCAAGGUAAAUACAUAAAAGAAUGUCCAAUUUAAAAAAUGAAGGAUCUACUUUGGAAAAAAUGAAGCAGGACAAGAGUUUAAGAAAAUAAAUUUAAGUAGGAUCUUCCCUUAAAACAAAUACGUCCUAUUAUCUAAAUAGAAAAUUACAUAAUGCAACCACAUUCUUUUAUUUUGGAUAAUUUUUUCUGCAUUAUGUCUAUUACUAGAUUGUUUGGUGCCUUGGUCCAAUUUGGAAUGUGUGUUCAAUUCAUUUUUUGUUUAGAGAAAGGAUGAUAUUACCACAAGCUCGGGGGGAAAUUCAUUUUCUUUGACUUGCUUCCCCUCUCGCCUUUACGAAUUUAUUCACCACUUACAUUCCUUAUAAUCUCCAAAUAAUCUUUUUCUUGGACUGAUGUCAAUUACCUUACAAUAAAUCCAACGCAUAAUACUGCUGGGUUGCAACACUGUCAUCACUUAAUACUACGAAGUAUGACAUCACCGUAAUGUAAUACUGCAAGGCAUAACAUCAUCGUAAUAUAUUACUGCAGGACGUAAUAUCGACGUAAUAUUGUGGGGCGUAACAUCAUUNNNNNNNNNNNNNNNNNNNNNNNNNAGUUGCUUUGUGAAUAAAUCCAAAGUCUAGGGUAUUCCCCCCUUUAGUCUUUUUGCUCAUAUCAUGACAUGUGGUCGAAAUCUUUCUAAUCUUGCAACUUCUGUUAUGUCCUAUCAUGCAACCUGUAUGACCCUGGCUUUGUAAGUGCACUUAUGCGAUUCAUCUUUCCUUUUUUCUUUUAUCUUUUAGUCAUUAUCUAGGCCUUACUUUGUAUAUACAGGUCUUAAUAGGAUGCCUCUCUGGGCCUCUAUAGGUGUACUGAAGUCCUUUGCUCGAUACUUUGUAGAACUUGCGAAUAUGGCCAUAUUUUAUUUCAUAGAUCUGGUUAUCUAUUCAUAUGACUUUACUACAUUUACAUGGGUUAUACUAUACAAUAAUGUUUACUUCAAUCUAUCUUUACUGAGGUAUGCUUACCAAGCUCCCAGAUACUUUUGUUGCCUAUCCUUUAGGUAUAAUUCCCUAGUCCUUCAAUGAUCCUUCAUUGCCGUUCAUGUUAAGAAUCAUGGCCUAAUCUCAUGUCAUACUUUGUAACUUGUAUCUAACCAUUAUUGAUUCGCCUCAAUGUUGAUUUAUAAUCCUUUACUUUAAGACUUGAAACUUCUUACGUAAUACAUUACCGCUAGGGCUUACGUUGCAUUGAGGAAUAUUUGAAGUGAUUUCCAUAAUCAUAUUUCAUAGUGUCUCCGUGGGAUGCACCUUAUGGGGGUAUCCUAAUUUCGUGCCGCCAGCAAAAAAUUUUCUCCUUCUCUUCUUAAUUUUUUUUUUCAAAUCACUAUUCAAACAAAGGCCCGAAUGUCAUCCUUUAUCUGUCACAAUUAUACCCUCAUUUUAUUACUAGGUUAGCAUUUCAUUCUUUCUAAAUGCUAUAAAUCUUAGAUUCCUUUGAGUUCAUUCAGGCUAUAGUGAGCUUUGUAUAACAUAGAGAAACUGUCUGCUCUUCUUGUUUUCAUGGGCUUAAUCCUAAAGACUUAUCCAUUCUCGUCACCUUUUCACUUGUCUUUCCUCAUCCUUACUCAUGUUUCCUUAAAACUUUGUCGCUCUACAGUACUUUAGCUUACGACCUAUACAUAUCCAUUUAUAAACUUUCCUUCAACUUGCUUGCACCAUAGAUUUUCUUAUGUUAUUCUGGAACGUCAAGCAAGAAAUCACAUCGUCUCCAACUUUUCUCUAUUCUCUUAACUGGAUCUCUGAGUACUUAGAAACCAUAGGCUGGAAGACAUGUCGCCGAAGAUGCCGCUAUCAUUCUCGGUUAUUGGAUCCCCAUGCUUAUAACCUUCUAUCCGAAGUAUGGACUAUUUACAACUUUUUGCAUUUGAGUAGCUCGUACGUUGUUCACUUUUACCAUAAAAUCUCGUAUCAUAUCUUUUAUAUCCUUUAUAACCUCCCUUCCACCUAGGUGUAAUUCACGUCCAUAACAUGAAGCUCUAUUAUAAUACUCGCACCUUUGGUACAUACACAAUCCGGUGGGAGCUUCGUGCUGACUUCUUAUGAGACUGGUACUUCUUCUAACUGGCUUCUUUCUAGAGCCAUUAUAGAUUAUGGUUGUUGUGUUAUUUCCCGUGAACAUCUGAUAUUAAGAGUGAUUCUGUCAUGUUUUUCAGCACAACUUCUAUAAUUUUUCUAGGUCCAUUAAUUAGACUCCUAAUUUACUUAGGUGACGUAAUUCUUUAGUUUCCUCUUCCUUAUGAUCAGCCUUUACAUAGGCUUAAUCUAUCUUCCGAUCUGUGGCUCAUGGUAUCAGUUAUUACCUUAGCUUUUCAUGGGCGUUAUGGAAUAUCUAUGAUACAAUCUUUUAACAAUUCAAUCUUUUGUCUAUGCCCUAGGCUCAAUUCUUUCUUUGAACUUAUAUCGAAGUCUUCUAUAGCUGUAUGAUUAUCAACAAAUAUGUUGCCUGGAUAAUGCUCCAAAAUCUUAAGUGUACCCAUAACGUACUAACUCUGAAUCAUUGAUCGAAUAAUUCCUUUCAUUCCAUCUCAGCUUUCUUUAAACGUGUGCAAUUACUUUUCCUGGUCUUUCUGCCCCUUGAUGCGUCCAUACUUAGCUUAUCUUAGUGCCCACAGUUGCCAGAGUUUUCAUACAACUCAUAUUAUCUCAAAUAUUACUUUUAAUUCUUACUUCCCGUAUCAUUAACCACGAUAGGUGCCAGUUUCCUUUGGAAUGCUUACAAUGUUGUUGCGAGACUGUUGUUACAUGACCAUUUUCUCUCUAGGUCGUUGUGCUUAGGUUGAAUCCUUCUUCCUUAUUUUUCCAGCUAGUCUUUCGUUGUAGUAACUAGGGAGAACCUUUGACUCUCGUAAAGCGGUGAGCUUAUUACGGACCCUUUUGAUGUCCUUACUUGCCUAUAAUCAUCCGUAGUUGCCUACUUCCAUGCCCUUGUACUUGUAUGGUUGCUUCUAAGCUGAUAUCUUAACUUCCUUCCUAGUAGCACAUUCUUUUAUCCCCGUAACACUCAUACGGUACCUUUAACUAUCCCGACUCUUGUUUGAAUAUAUCUCAAGUAUUAUAAUGAUAUUCUCCGAGGCUGAAUUCUCCAUGUUGAGUUCUACUAUGUUUAUCUUACACGAUAUGAUUACUCGUUUGUAACCUCCUGUUUAACCAUAACUGAGAUAUUCCUGACCAAUUACUAACUACUCGUUGGCCCAUUCUCAUAUCAAUAUUCCUCGUAAUCUUUCUUGGGUUAUUUACUUUGUUUUAACUUACGUCUCGUACUGGCUCUUAUUUAUUAAUAACAGCUUGGGCAGGAACCUUUAAUUCCUCUCCUUGACGUCGUGCUUGUACCAAAUCGUAGUGUAUCUGUAAGAUUUGGAUAAGUGCCAUCUCAUUCCUCUUUCAUUUAUCACUUUCUUCCUUUACCAUUCCAUAGUCAUUAGAACCACUUAAUUCUGACUUAAUGCCAUAUUACUCCAUAUUCCCCCCCUUUAGGGGUGUACUAAAAGCUGAAGCCAUGAGGAUCUACCUAUAGAUGUUUUACCUCUUCAUCUUUAGCGUUGUUUCUCAACAUCAAUGAUCCUUACUCGCCUUGCGACAAUUCUUCUGUACCAAGGAUGACAAAUUCCCUUACUCAUGAGGGUGACACUUAGCGUAACUGGCACAUAUAGUUUCUUAAACUUAACUUUGCUCACAUUGCUUGCUCUAGGGAAGCAUAUCCCUGAAUGACUAUUCUAUCAAUUCAUCGUGAAUCUUCUUCUGUGGUCCAUCUAUUACUGCCAGAAGGAAAUCUGAAAUUCCCAUGAUGCCGAGUACUUUCCAAUCAUUCAGUUCCUAAUUCAUAUAUAGUUUAUCUUGUUUACCAGUCCAUACUGAUUUUUGUUACUCUGGGGAUUAACUCUCCCCUCUGGUAGUCGCGUUGGAGUCACGAACUUAUUUCUCGAAAUGAGGAUAUAACCUUAUGGCCUAUACUCUUUCGUUCUCAUAAUGCACAUCACCUUUCGUCUCUUCCUUCAUUUGACUAUAGGUUCUAUAACACUCUACCAUUUUCAUCAAUGUAUCGCACCUUAUUCAUAAGCUUCCUUAUCUCUCUUCUCUUUACUCUGCUAAUAUUUCUGCAUAUCCCUUUUCCUGUGAAAACUUCAAUAUGACAGUCUUUCGCUUUUAGCUUCCUUUUUCUCCAUCCAAUGGCUCUUUGGGUUGCUCAACAUCCUCGCCCUACUAGGGAUGAGAGCCACACUUAAGGUAAUAUUUAUCCCAUCAAGGCUUAUAGUUCAUGUCUUUGUAGUACUCAUAUCUAGCUGUACUAUUUUAGGGUGAACCAUCUGGGUGUUUCACAAGAAGAUUUAUUAGCACAUUUACAAUAUCCUUUAGCAAUGUUAACUAAUACAAACAAUUCAUCCACCAUUUUGGGUUACUUUAAACCCAGCCGGAUCGUGAUGUUAAGUCCUUCUCUUAAACCAUAUUUGUUAGUUCCAUAAUGCAUAACUUAGAUCGGUGUGGCCAAUUGUACAUACUUCUGUUACUGUUGAAUGUAACUCAAAAUACUUAUAUCUCUCUUCAUGAAUGGUAAAUAAGGAUGAUCUUCAUUAGCUGGGUACCUCGUACCCUCUUUCACCUUACUUCCUUUACUUGUUGAAACUUGUAUAUAUCUUAUGAAUCUCUUAUUGUCUUUCACCAUGAAGGUGGGUAGAUAUUCUUGCCUUAAGGCUCCUUUUCCAGAAGUUCACCAAGUUUUUCUGACUCAACUCUUUCACAACCACAUUCAAUGCCUUACCAACCAUCUUUCUAGAUGUAGGCAUCAUCGUAUUAUGAAUAAGAUAGAGUUUAGGAAAAUGAGUUCUUACAACUGAGAUCUACCACACGAUCUAGAGUAAGAAGAAAGAGUGACAGUCCUAAAUACCCUGUAGCCUCCUGCUUAUAAGUGUGGUGCACGACAAACCUAUAAGCAAAACUUUACUAGACAAGGCUUGUAGACAUCCCUAGGAAAGAACUACUCUGAUACCACCUUUGUCACGACCCAAACCGAUGGGCCACGACGGGCACCCAAUACCUUACUCAACUAAGUACCAAUGUAACGUAUCUUUCUUAUUACAUCAUCAUAUACAUGUGACAUACGGGCCUAAUAGGCCAACAUGAUCCUUUAUAAAUUCAAAACAUAGGCCGACAAGGCCGUACAAUCUUUCACGUACACGACAUAUGUCUACAAGCCUCUAAGAAUACAUAGAUGUCAUAAGGGUCAGGACAGAGUCUCGCCAUACCAAACAAUACAUGUCUAAAUCAUACUAACCAAACAAGCAACUCCGAAGCAAAUGGAGCUCACCAACAUCUUCCGUUGAGCUGAUAGCCUACUUGGAGGGCUCUCGACCUGUCUAUCGGGACCUACAGGCAUGAAACGCAGCGUUCCCAGGCAAAAGGAAUGUCAGUACGAAUAAUAUACCGAGUAUGUAACGCACAUAAUUAAAUACAUAAGAGACAUGGAAGACAUAUAGAGUACAUGACUCAACUUGUNNNNNNNNNNNNNNNNNNNNNNNNNUGUGAAUAUAACGUCAUAACCGUUUCUCAUAUCCCAUAUACAUAUAUAAACGUAUAUAACGCCGUUUGAAUUAUAUUUACAUAUAUACGCGUAUAUAACGCCGUUUGAAUCAUAUUUCAGCCAUUGUGGGCAACAUCAUCAUCAUAUACCAGCUGAUCAAGUGGUGGUGCGUAUAUAAUGCCGUAACCUUUUCCCAUAUCCCAUAUACAUAUAUUUACAUAUAUACGCAUAUAUAACGCCAUCUGGUCAUGGGUCAAUGCAAUGAAUGCAAUGCAUGAAAAGUACGUCAAUAAAAUCAUUCGGAAUGUCAUAAGACCAUUUUGCCUCUUGAUCAAUAUCACAAAGUAAAAUCCAUUCAACUUUCGUGUUUUUUAUACCCAUGAACAGAUGAUAAAAUAUUAUGGCACACGAAAAUUCAAGAACAUAGAUAUCUCUAAUACUUCUAUGAAUAGAGUCAUUCAUGGAAUUUGUGCAUUUACACGUUUCGUUCGUAUCGUGUGGAUCAUGCCAAAAGAAAGAAGGGAUAGCCUUAACAUACUUGAAGUAUGAACAACUCCGUAUAAUUAUCCCGUUGGAAAGUUUCGUGGAUUGAACUUAGAACCCAAAAAUCGGAUUUAAGCUUCUGCGCUUUUGAACUUGAGGAACAAAAUUGGCUUGGAUUUACUUGAAGUUGGAAUUAUUUUAUCCCGAAAUACCAAAUAUCAAUGAAAUUCAUUUUCUUCGACUUGCUUCCCCUCUCGCAUUUACAAAUUUAUUCAUCACUUACAAUCCUUAUAAUCUCCAAAUAAUCUUUUCCUUGGACUGAUGUCAAUUACCUUACAACAAAUUCAACGCAUAAUAAUACUGGGUGCAACACUGUCAUAACUUAAUACUAUGAAGCAUGACAUCACCGUAAUGUAAUACUGCAAGGCAUAACAUCAUCGUAAUAUAUUACUGCAGGGCGUAAUAUUAAUGUAAUAUUGCGGGGCGUAACAGGUUUGUGGUGAUUUUUCGUGAGUUUUUUAAGGAAUUGAUUGGGAUGAGUGAUUCUAACCCGGACUUGGUUAAAUUACAUUAAUAUAUCCUUGAUUUAAUUAGUGAUUUUGAUUGAAAAUUUUGAAACAAAAUUAGAAAACUUCUUAGGCCAAUUGUUUUUGGAUUUGAGCGAGAUUUUGAUAUUGGAUUUGAGUAAUUUUGGUAUGGUUGGACUCGUGGUUGAAUGGGUGUUCUGAUUUUAUAAAUUUUAUCGGAUCCUGAGACUUGGGCUCGGGGAUUGACUUUUAAGUUAACUUUUUGACUUUUGAUUAAGAACUUAGUAUUUUCUUGUUGGAUUGAUUUCUUUAGCUCGUAUUGAUUGUAUCGAAUUUUUUGUGGCUAGAUUCGAGGCAUUUGGAGGCUGAUUCGCGAGGCAAAGGUUUAUUGGAGUAGAGAUUUGUAGAGUUUGAAGUAAGUAACACUUCUAAACUUAGUUCUGAGAAUAUGAAACCCCAAAUUAUGUAUUAUUUGAUUGGUUGUUGAGUUGAUGCACAUGCUAGGUGACAGGUGUCUGGGCGUGCACCGUAAGAAUUGUGAUUUGGUCGAUUCUAUGAAACUGUAUAGUUGAAUAAUCUUGUCGUUACCUGCAUUUUCACCAUGUGUUAGAGAAAUUGAACUGCGUGUAAUGUUAGAAAUCCUGCCUAGGCUACAAGUUGGUACUGUUGGGACCCACAUAGGUCGUGUUACAUAUUGAAUUAUUUGCUAAAUUUGUCAUUUUGUACUCAGUCACAACUAUUAUUUGCAUAUUAUAUUUCAGUCUCUGUUGUCCUUUAUUGAUAAAUUAUAUCACCAUUCUCUGGGAUGAUUAUCAUAUUUGUUGAGAGCCCGAGAGACUAGAAAUACUGAUGACUGAGUGAGACCAAGGGCCUGAUUGUGAGGAUAUUUAUGGGAUCGGGCUGCAUAAUGCAACAUGUUAUUUGAUUCAUGCCACUAUUUUCUUAGUAUAGCGCUUGGGCUGGAAUUUUUCCUCUAGAGUCUGCAUAUCCACAGUGAGCACAGGUACCUACAGAGUGCGAGUGCCGAGCUACUGAGAGGAUUGAGUGGUUGUGAGGAGAGAGUGACUAUGAGGAAUGAGUGACUGUGAGGAUGGAGUGAAUGUAAGGACUGAGUGACUGAUAUUUUGAGAGUAUACAUAUGAUUUCAUUACUAUUUUGUACUUCAGUUGGCAUAUAUAAUUGUCAUGUACAUACCAAGAUGUACUAUAUCUUGUUCCAACUGAACUUGACCUGAUUUAUUUGUUAGGGCUUUAACUGUUAAACUUUAAAGCGUGCCUACAUUUCUGUACUGAAAUUUCUAUAAUUGUGUACUUGUAAAGCUCGUCACUAUUUUCAUCCUAAUAGUUAGGCUUGUUACUUACUGAGUUGGUUGUACUCAUGCUACACCCUGCACUUUGUGUGCAGAUCAAGGUGUUUCUAGAUAUGGUGGUUGCUAAUUCUCAGAGUUCAUUUCAUUCGAAAAUAUUCUAGGUAGUUGCCCCGAUGUUCGCAGACCUUGACUUUCCUCCCCUAUCCCUCAGUCUUAUUUAUUUAGUUUUAAUUUUUC